RNAcentral lists this ribosomal RNA (734 nucleotides) under Laimaphelenchus suberensis. Its description in RNAcentral is "eukaryotic LSU rRNA". It matches the Rfam family "Eukaryotic large subunit ribosomal RNA", at positions 367 to 939 of the family's 3401-position model. The record is from RNAcentral. Lineage: Eukaryota; Metazoa; Nematoda; Chromadorea; Rhabditida; Aphelenchoididae.
CAAAGUACUUUGAAAAGAGAGUGCAAGAGAACGUGAAACCGACAUAAUGGAAGCGGAUGGAGCCGACGUAUCGUGCUUGUAUUCAAUUGCACACGGUUGCAUUCCUCUGGUUUGGCAUUCCGCAAGGUUGUCGAUUGGAUGUGUUUGUUGCUUGGUGUAAUGCUUUUGCAAGCGGAGUGCAUCGAGUGGGUUGAUUGCGCUGUUGGAAAUCAGUUUAGAGGACUUUCCUUCGGGUUAGAACCCUGGAUUGGUGGAUAGCAGAUGUGGUUGACUUGUUGUCAAAGGCUGGUGAAUUCGCGGUUCACGCUGAGGAUGUUGGCUACUAGUAGGGAACACAUGUGCUCUUUGCUCUUAGUUGAUGUCUUUGGUGUGUACUGCCCGUGCCUUCGACUCGAUGUUCAGUUGGUCACCCAUCCGACCCGUCUUGAAACACGGACCAAGGAGUUUACGGUGUACGCAAGUCAUUGGGCUAUCGAAACCCAAAGGCGUAAUGAAAGUGAGACAUUUAUUGUCUGUGAUGUGAACAAUUGUUGUUUCGAUGACUUUUGUGCAACAUCGCCCCAUGACUAGGGCUUGCUCUGUUGUGGAGGUCGAGCGUACGCUGUGAGACCCGAAAGAUGGUGAACUAUGCCCGAACAGGAUGAAGCCAGAGGAAACUCUGGUGGAAGUCCGAAGCGGUUCUGACGUGCAAAUCGAUCGUCUGAUUUGGGUAUAGGGGCGCAAGACUAAUCGAA